This is an RNA transcript of Scomber scombrus (Atlantic mackerel), 8260 nucleotides long. It is a transcript of the gene named cell migration-inducing and hyaluronan-binding protein-like, with no coding region annotated. The record is from RefSeq and is a predicted model, not a curated record. The transcript has 29 exons. Lineage: Eukaryota; Metazoa; Chordata; Actinopteri; Scombriformes; Scombridae.
GGCUUCCCACUGUGAACUUGGCUUCUUCUACUCUGGAACCCCCUCUGAAGCCCACUAGGAGGUCUGAAGCAACCUUUGAAGGCUCCUGGUGUGAAGUUGGUCAGCAGUGAGUUUAGAGAGAUGAAGACAUGUGUCCUGUUUCUGGCAGCUCUGCUGCUCCCUAGCAUCCGAGCAGUUUGUCCAGAUAAGGAUCCAGGACUGCAGCCAUGGAUGCCGGGACACAGUGAAGACCACCGUGUUACUAUUGGUUAUGGCAGGAAGGUCCUCCUCACAACUUCAGCUACAGUCCACUCCAUCGAAAUCCUCAGUGGAGGAAAGCUGGUGAUUGCUGACACCAACCGGCCCAUACUGCUUCGAACAAAACACAUUCUGAUUGGGAACAAAGGGGAGCUGCACAUCGGAAGCCCAGACUGUCCUUAUAAAGGCAACCUCAACAUUUCCCUGUUUGGAAGAUUGGAUGACAGUGAUCAGGAACACAGUUACUUUGGCCGGAAGUACAUUGGCGUAGGGACCGGAGGGACACUCGAGAUCCACGGAGCACAGAAGCUGUCAUGGACUUUUCUCAACAAGACCCUCAACCCUGGAGAGAGCAACCAAAACAACUACCUGUUCCAGAGAAGCUGGGGGAACCGAGGCAUCAUUAUCCACGUCAUCGACCCCAAGACCGGAGAGGUGCUGCGUGAUGACAGGUUUGACACAUACCGCAGUAAAGAUGAGAGUCGUCGUCUUACGAAGUAUGUGGAUAGUGUGGAGGCAGGACUCAUAAUGGCCAUGGUGGUUAACGACGAGGGCUCCAACAACUUGGAGGACUCAGCCAAGAAGAGCCUCUCCAGAUUGGGCAGCCAGCACAUCAGCAGUCUGGGAUUUCGGCAUCCCUGGACUUUUAUAGUUGUGAAAGGAGAUUCUUCAUCUGUUGUGGAGGAUCAUGCUGUCUAUCAAGGAACCAAGGCCUCCUCAGAGGCCCGGAGCUCUCGUGUUUUCCAGUGGAGUUAUGGAGAGCAUUUCACCAUCACUGCCAGCAGCCAGUGGGUGCAAGAGGCAGAGUGGACGGAAUGGUUUGACAGGGAUGAUGAGAGGGGAUCUGGAGAUUGGGAGAAAUUAUCGGACCUACAUGAGGCUUAUCCAGACCGGCUGUGUAGCAGUCCACUGGACAUCCAGGCUGAAACCCUUGAUGGCAUACCUUCCAACCAGACAGGAGACGUGAUCCAUAAGAAAACCAAGGACUAUGGUUUUGUCUGCCUCAACAAGGACCAGGCUCAUGGCCUCUGUCGCAACUACAGAGUUCGUUUCCUUUGUGGAAAACUUGUUCGUCCACAGGCCUCCAUUACCAUCGACAUGCUGUCCAACAGCAGCAUCCUGGAGCUCGCUGACCAUCCAGAGGGCUGGGGAUCCGGAGAUCGGGUGGUGGUGGCCAGUACUGACUACUCCAUGCACCAGGCUGAGGAGUUCACCCUGCUUCCCUGCCCUACCUGCAAACCCAACCAGGUCAAGGUCCAAGGUAAGGCCCAGUUCAUCCACAUGGGUGAGGAGGUGAAUGGAGUGGAUAUGAGGGCGGAGGUCGGCCUGCUGAGUCGUAACAUCCUGCUCCGUGGUGAGAUGGAACCUGCCUGCUAUGGCAACGAGCUCUGCAAAUUCUUUGAUUUCGACACUUUCGGAGGACAUUUGAAGGUAGAGCGAGGCUUCAAGGCAGUUCAUAUAUCUGGCAUGGAGCUUCAGCACAUGGGUCAGCAGACAAUGGGACACUAUCCUGUCCACUUCCAUAUGAAUGGUGAUGUGGACGAGAGGGGAGGCUACAACCCCCCCACCUUCGUCAGUGAUCUAUCCAUCCACCACUCCUUCUCUCGCUGUGUAACCAUCCAUGCCUCCAACGGACUACUGGUAAAGAAUGUAGUGGGCUACGACUCGCUGGGACACUGUUUCUUCACAGAGGAUGGACCGGAGGAGAGGAACACAUUCGACCACUGCCUAGGUAUGAAGGUGCGAGCGGGGAGUCUGCUGCCGUCAGACAGAAACAGCAAAAUGUGCCGUUACAUCACCGAAGGAGCCUACCCAGGAUACGUGGCCAACCCACGCCAAGACUGCAGUGCAACUUCGACUUUCUGGAUCGCCAAUCCCAAUAACAACCUCAUCAACUGUGCAGCUGCAGGCUCAGAGGAAACAGGUUUCUGGUUUAUCUUCCACCAUGUGCCCACUGGACCAUCAGAGGGUCUUUACUCUCCCGGACACACUGAACACGUACCUAUGGGCCACUUCACCAACAACAGAGCUCAUUCCAACUACAGGGCUGGAAUAAUCCUUGAUAACGGAGUAAAGACCACCCAGGCAAACGACAAGGACAAGAGACCCUUCCUGUCUCUGGUUGGAGCCAGGUAUGGCCCCCAUCAGGAUGCUGACCCUUUCAAACCCAGAGUCCCUGCCCUCAUCCACCACCUCGUAGCCUAUAAGAACCAGGACCACGGAGCCUGGCUGAGAGGAGGGGAUGUGUGGUUGGAUGACUGCCAAUUCGCCGAUAACGGUAUUGGCCUCACUCUGGCGAGUGGAGGAACGUUUCCAGAUGACGACGGCUCUCGUCAGCAGGUGAAGAACUCACUGUUUGUGGGUGAAAGUGAUAAUCGUGGGAUGUCUCUCCCUGACAACCAUAACUGGGGCCCAGGAGGUGCUGACCACACCGGCAGGACCCUACCACGUGGCAUUGAUUUCCCCAUCCGUGGCAUGCAGAUCUACGACGGGCCCAUCAACGUGCAGAAUUGUACAUUUCGGAAAUACACGGCACUGGAUGGACGACACACCAGCGCUUUCGGCUUCAGGCUCAACAACUCGUGGCAGAGCUGCCCCAACAAUAACGUCACCGACAUCACUUUCGACCAAGUACCUAUCACAUCUCGGGUGUUUUUUGGGGAGCCUGGUCCCUGGUUUAAUAAGAUGGAGAUGGACGGGGACAAGACGACCAUCUUCCACGAUAUCGACGGCUCGGUCAGCGAGUAUCCCGGAGCGUUCCUGGUGAAAGAAGACAACUGGCUGCUUCGCCACCCUGACUGCAUCGAUGUACCCGACUGGAAGGCCGCUAUCUGCAGCGGCAACUACGCUCAGAUCUACGUCCAGACACGUAACCCUGCCAACCAGAACAUGUACAUGGUGAAGGACGAGUACCCUGAUCGGCCCCUCACACUAGAGGGCGCUCUGGGGAAGAGGAAGCACUACCAGCAGUUCCAGCCAGUGAUCACACUUGCCAAAGGCUACACCAUCCACUGGGACCAGGUGGCACCCGCUGAGGUCACCAUCUGGCUCAUCAACUUCAGCAAAAAUGACUGGAUCAGUGUGGGCCUCUGCUACCCACAAGGCACCACCUUCACCAUCCUCUCAGACAUCCACAACCGCUUGACCAAACAGACCCGCAAGACUGGAGUCUUCAUGAGGACCACACAGAGGGACAAGAUCAACCACUCCCACCUGGCCAGAGGCUAUUACUACUGGGAGGAAGACACUGGCCUGCUGUUCCUGAAGGUGAAGGCCCACAACGACAGGGAGCAGUUUGCCUUCUGCUCCAUCAAGGGAUGUGAGAGAGUAAAGAUCACAGCCGUCAUCCCUACAGGCAGCCCACCCAGCAACUGCAUGGCCCAGGCCUAUCCCAGACACUCUGAGCUGCCUGUUGUGGAUGUUCCCAUGCCCAGAAAGAUUCCCAACGCCAGGCUGCACUCAGCGGAACACUUCCUCGAGGUCAAACUGGAGUCCUACAACACUCGCUUCUUCCACAUCAAGGAGGACUUUGCUUUCACUGAGGUGAAUGGCAGGAAGCUGUACCAACCAGAUGAUGGGGUUCAGCUGACCGUAAUCGACGGGCAUGAUGGGAAGGUGGUGGAGAGCAAAGGCUUCAGGAACUCAAUCCUACAGGGCAUCCCUACUCAGCUGGACAAAUACAUCAGUGGACUGAGAGACGGUUCUGUUGUUCUCGUGACGUCCAAAGGCCGUCUGGUGACUCGAGGAGCCUGGACUAAAGCCCUGGAGAGACUUGGUGCAGACAAAGGCAUCAAACUGAAAGAUAAGCUGGCAUUUGUGGGCUUCAAGGGCUCCUUUAAACCUGACUGGGUCCAUCUGGAGGCGGAUACUGACCGAGCCAAGAUCCAUCAGGUCCUGCCUGUCCCUGUGGUCCACAAGAUGAAGCUAUGAGUGGCAGACAGAGUGGGGAAGACAACCAAGAGACUAUGUAGCCCCCAUAUACUGGCACUCAUACCCCCCACAAGAAUACACAAGCACACACACAAAUACGCACGCACACACACACACACACACACACACACACAGCCAGCACUGCAGUGUGACAGUCGGUUGCUCCGAGCCAUUGGUCCAGGAUCUAGUGGUGUUUUUUUUCCAGGCUCGACACAGAGAAAGAAUGAUGUGAUUCAAUGUGUUGAUAAGGGAAGACCCCCAAACACCAAGAGCCAGCACUGCCCAUGUUGAACUGUAAGUGUGUAAGACCCCCAACAUCAGUAGAGGGCUUUAAUAAGGUGAGAACGCACCCUCUGGCGGCCAUAUUGGAGGUUCCUUGGCAACAGUGGCUCACAACAGCGACAUUAAUAGACACUAACAUGUUUGCUCAUCGUUGUGUUUAUAGCUUGUUAGCUUGUCUGCUACGUAACCAUUGGAUUUGGACAGCUUAACAUUAUUGCCAUGCUGUAAAAACAUCUGUUUUAUACACCAGCAAACAUUGACCGUAAUACAGGUUCAUCUUCACAUCAACAUCGGCCUAUUUGCUAAAUGAGCUAGCAGGCCUGGUCUGACAUUGUCAAGAAACACCUCGUUUAGCUUUGGUCUAGAGACUGACAUGACAGUUCAACCUUCAAAUACUUCAUAGUACUCUGUUCUCUAACAGACUUCGCUGUUGGUUUGACCCACCUGACAUCUACAGUGUCAGGAUGCUGACCUCCUUGAGUCAUGAAGCUAAAUCUAAAUGAAGACGCUCUCUGGUGACACAGUCAGGUGACGGGUGUGAACAUGUCUGAUAGCAAGACACAAUAAUCGGCCAACUGGUUUAGUCAGUCACUGCACAAAGGCGUUCAUGGUGCUCUUGUUGAUUAUACACAGGAAAGUGACGGAAGUAGUCGAGUGUGAGGAAUGAAAGGAGAUCUUGAGACAGAAGUUCAAACUCUGCACCAGGGAGCAUGCUGGUCAGAUUGUCAAGUUUGGAAAGUUCCGAAAGUUGUCAGAUGUAGGUUGAAAGAGAAGUUCACACUUUACCUACAGUGUCACUACAGCACACCUCACCAAUCGCUGUAUGAAGUAGGUGUGAUUGAUUAUAAUAAUUAUUAUAAACUUCAUUUAUAUAGCACUUUUCUUAACAAUGUUUGCAACAAGUGCUUGACACAACAUAAUAAAACAGAACAAGGCAGAUACAAAUGUUUUGAGAAGUUUAGGAGAGUAGUGAUUAGUGAUUUACUAGCUAGGAGCUUGAGUUAAAAGAGUGAAAUCUAAAUCAAUUUAUGAAUUCUCAAGUCAAGAUAUUUGCCAGCUUCAGUGGAUAGUCUGUGUAUCCCAUCCAUCUUUUUUGGUCAGGGUCAGGUUGGCAGCAGGCUGAAAAAAAAACUGGCCCAGGUGUCAUCAUCCCUAACCACAUCCAGCCAGAUGACAUAUGUAAUCCCUCCAGCAUGUCCCCACUCAUUUGGGUGUGCCUGGAAAUACUUCCAUAGAGGAAUCCAGGAGGCAUCCAGAUCAUGUGCAUGAGCAACCUAGAUGGGCUUCUUUCAAGUACCCUUUUGAAUCAUAUAAUAAUAGACAGAACAGUCUCACCUGGGAAGGAAACUGGGCCCCUUCCUGGAGCUAGAUGUGGUAGAAGAGCUUGUAUGUGAGUGCUGGGUGUUUGGGCAUGUUGGAGACACCUAUGGGGUCGUCAUGGUGUGGGCUCACCAGCUACAAAUUUGCUAAGAAAGCUAUGAAAUUUGAAUCAAAACAGGUCAAGAAAGCAAUAAAAAGCCCUUUGGUCCAUCAACAAGUGUUUGGCAUGUUGCCAGCCGGGUUGCCGGUUAGCUGGCCAUGCAUCUUGGUCUGGCAUCUCCCACAAGCCGUGGUGACAGCUGCACAGAACAUACCAGCUCUUUCCACCUCCCAGGACUAUGUGGUUUAUCAGCAGCUGCUUGCCAAAUAGUGUCCUGUAGACAAAAGCCACUGAGCAGUGUACUUGCUGCCUGCAGGUAUGCGUCUGCCCAUGAAGACUGUAACCAUUAGAGAGCUGAGAGGGUUCUCAUGAGUUCCUGUAGGGCAGUGUUCUCCAACCCUGCUCCUGGAGAGCUACUGCCCUGCAUGUUUUAGGUAUCUCCUCACUCUAACACACCUGAUUCUAAUGAUGAACUAGUAGUAGCUCACCAGGAGCAGGGUUGGAGACCACUGCUGUACUGUAUGGGGGUUCAUACGUUGAGGCCUUCCAACUAAAAACAGCCUAGGGUGUCAAACUAAUAGCCACGUCUGUUACAGAUCUAUGCAUGUGCUCACAGAACUGAAGUCAUACAUUCUAACCUCCUACACAACCAAAGACAAUCAUAUGCAAAUAUUUUGUGUUCGCAAAAAACAUUUAGAAGAAAACAUGAUGUUAACUGCCGAGUAAGGAGAAAACUAUUACUUCACUCAAACUGUUCCUUCAAAAUUGAAAGGUCCUGGAAAAAAAAGGUUAAAUUCCUUUUCUAAACAAUCUGCUGGGAAAGUUUAUUCUUGUUCAUGGAAAUAGUAUAAAAACUAGGUAAAAAUAGAUUAAAAAGACAAUAAAAGUAAUAUAAAAGAUGAUGUUUAAUUAAAGCUCGACUAAAACUAGGUUAAAAAAGAGAUUAAAAGACAAAAAGAGACAAAUAAAAUAAGAUAAAACUAUAGAAUGGUAAUAGAAUAAUGUAAAAAAAUUAAAACAAAUACAAUAAAAUAGAAUAAAAAGACUACGAAAAAAAUCCGUUCUUAAUCAAAAGCCAGGUUGAACAGGUUAAAAAUGUCUAAACAAACCAAACCAAACAGGUUCAUGUAUCUUGGAGUAAUAACUAACUCACUAUAAUUAGCUUUAACACAGAGUGAACACUGCAAAUAAAAAUAAAUUAACACAAAUCAUUUCCAUAUGACUGUAGUUUGUAGGACAUUGGGUUUGCCAGUUCUCUGAGUCACAGUAAGUUACAUCUGAGGUAUGACAUCAUCACUUUUACAUUAUAAUCUAACAGUAAUUGUUGCUAUGAUUUUGUUGUUGUUUUUCUAGUCUGAUUGUUUAUUUGAUAUUCACACAUUACUAACUACUGACCAAUACUCUGAUGGACCUCCAUAAUGUCAGCCAUGGUUGCUAGGCGAUUUGUGAUGCAACUGCAAAGCCUCAAUAUCGACAGAGGGGACAAAUACUAAGCAAGUGUGAGCCUGCUAAUCAAACGCAUGUAUAUGUGCAUCAAUGAGAACCCUUCCCACACGCAGGUCUCUGUGAUAUGUGACAGACAUAGAAGUUUGAGUGCUUUGAUUGUCUUGCUUUGUUUGAUUAAAGUGUGUAAAGAAAGAAAAGAAAAGAAGAAAAAAAAGAAACGUUCCUCGUUUGCAUCCAAACCAGUGGUUGUUAACUAGCUCUGUUUCAUUCCGAGCACUCGCUCACUUGAUAUCGUGAUGUUUUUUCCUCUGUUUGUUUCAUAUCCGUGUUUGUGAUCCAUCUGUCUUUGUUUAUGCAGUGAACCAGCAAGAAAGCCCACAACAAUAUACAAGAUGAAAUUCAAUUUUCCACUGAAUGUUAAAUCAGGAAACUUUAAAAAUGUGCAAUUCCCCCCCCCCCCCCCCCAUUUCAAAAUGACAGAGAAAUCUUUGUUCCAAUCUGGCUUGAAAAAAGAUUUCCCCCCCCUCCCUUUGCCGAAAUAGCUGGUCUUUUUUCGGAGGUUGUAGCCGUAAUUGAGUGUUUUGUAUGUUUAAUGUGUUUUUAAAAAUUCAGAUUGAUAAGAGAUAUAUUUUAUACUUAUUUAUUGUACAGACCCCGUUGAUCCAAGUCUAUAAGAAACAUCUUUUGAGUUGUAAUGUUAUUCCUGUCCUGUAUGUAUACUGUAUGUAAGAAAGCAUUAUAGUUCCAUUUUAAGACUUGUACCAGACACUCACUGCAUACAUACAUAUGACUUGUUUUCACUGUACACCAAAUGGAUGUGUUGUAUAUGUGGCUUGAGCUUGUAAAGUGAUGAAACUCCUUUUUUUUUGUUUUCCUUUGAAGACUUUUGUACAGAAAUAAAUGAUGGUGAACAGUUUGUCUGACUGUCACUUUGACUGAAAGUUA